GAGAGCGUGUGUGUGAGUAUGGUAGCAUACAUAAGAAUUAUACUACCAUGAUCUCGGGUUCAGCUCAUUUGGGUUUUGAGGUGUUGGUGCCAACAGGGAAUUAGGCUCUUGUUGGUGGUUCUUCGAGGCAACGCCAGCUCCUCCCUUUUUAUAAUAUUUAUUUAUUAUAUUUUUCGAGUAACAAUAAUUUUUGUUAUAUUUUUUAAUAAUAAUAUUUAUAAAAUUUUUAUUUAUUUUAUUUAAAUAAAAUAAAAUUUAAAU
This 261-nucleotide unclassified non-coding RNA is filed under the name Hevea brasiliensis (rubber tree). The record is from RNAcentral. Lineage: Eukaryota; Viridiplantae; Streptophyta; Magnoliopsida; Malpighiales; Euphorbiaceae.